GGCGCGUUGGCUUUGUCUUGUCCAAGCCCAGGCCCAGACCCAGAUAUGGAGGCUUUCGCUCCUUCCUUGAUUGGUGGAUCUUUACCUUUCAAAAGGAAACACUAAGGAUUCCAAAGUUCAAGAACACUGGAUUGAAACUGUAACAGGAAAAUGGUGCAUCGCAGUCUGGAUAACUAAUGUGGACUGUUCACCUCAAUGCUGUUAGAGACUUUACCAUGUCUGUGUAAGUUAAUCUUCAAGAAAAUCUCAAGCUCUCCUCAAGCAGAAGCCUGUUGAUUGGCACGAGACAAGAUAAUCAAUGACAAUUGAUGACAAAUCAAUGACAAAUUAUCAAAGGCGUUUUCCCUAUUCCGGUACACUGACACGACCAGAUGUCCUCUGUUGGGAAAAAGUGCUCUUUCUCUAACCUCACGGAAAGAAGGUGAAAAGGGGUAACCUGGUACAACACUGGGCUCCCAGACUCUGCGCAGUGGAAGGUGUUUCUUGAAGAUCAGACAGAGCAGAAGGUAUCACUGUGCGACAUCCCUUCUGUGGUUCACUGCACCCUCUGAGUCAGGACAAUGAGAGAACAUUCUUAAAACAUGACCUAACCACGCUCAGUCCUCAAACAAAUUCCUGGACGUGUGCGGAGCAGGCUUGUCAGCUCCUCGCUGCUGCCUUCACAAAGCCACUUUCUGAGCCAGUUAGUAUGCAUUCAAAUAAUGUUGUAAAAUAUAGCCAGUUCAUAUCUGGCGCAUAUGCUGUAGGGCCGCUCUUGGCCGUAUUUUCAUAUUUUUUAUAUUGUGGUGGCUGAGUCUCUGCCUGGGGUUUUGGGGAUCCCUGACUUCACACUUUACCAGAAAGAAGUUUUGGCAAAUUAUUCUCAGAGGAAAAAAAGAUAACACGAUACUGUCCAUUUCCAGAAUAAAGCGCUAGU
Long non-coding RNA from Fukomys damarensis (Damara mole-rat), 916 nucleotides. RefSeq lists it as uncharacterized. NCBI's taxonomy places the organism in Eukaryota, Metazoa, Chordata, Mammalia, Rodentia, Bathyergidae. The transcript has 5 exons. The record is from RefSeq and is a predicted model, not a curated record.